CGGCGGACGGGUGAGUAACACGUGGGUAACCUGCCUGUAAGACUGGGAUAACUCCGGGAAACCGGAGCUAAUACCGGAUAGUUCCUUGAACCGCAUGGUUCAAGGAUGAAAGACGGUUUCGGCUGUCACUUACAGAUGGACCCGCGGCGCAUUAGCUAGUUGGUGAGGUAACGGCUCACCAAGGCGACGAUGCGUAGCCGACCUGAGAGGGUGAUCGGCCACACUGGGACUGAGACACGGCCCAGACUCCUACGGGAGGCAGCAGUAGGGAAUCUUCCGCAAUGGACGAAAGUCUGACGGAGCAACGCCGCGUGAGUGAUGAAGGUUUUCGGAUCGUAAAGCUCUGUUGUUAGGGAAGAACAAGUGCAAGAGUAACUGCUUGCACCUUGACGGUACCUAACCAGAAAGCCACGGCUAACUACGUGCCAGCAGCCGCGGUAAUACGUAGGUGG
RNAcentral lists this ribosomal RNA (452 nucleotides) under Bacillus altitudinis. RNAcentral's name for it is "bacterial SSU rRNA". It matches the Rfam family "Bacterial small subunit ribosomal RNA", at positions 96 to 534 of the family's 1533-position model. The record is from RNAcentral. Lineage: Bacteria; Bacillati; Bacillota; Bacilli; Caryophanales; Bacillaceae.